RNAcentral lists this transfer RNA (73 nucleotides) under Stegodyphus mimosarum. It matches the Rfam family "tRNA". Rfam says of the family: Transfer RNA (tRNA) molecules are approximately 80 nucleotides in length. Their secondary structure includes four short double-helical elements and three loops (D, anti-codon, and T loops). Further hydrogen bonds mediate the characteristic L-shaped molecular structure. tRNAs have two regions of fundamental functional importance: the anti-codon, which is responsible for specific mRNA codon recognition, and the 3' end, to which the tRNAs corresponding amino acid is attached (by aminoacyl-tRNA synthetases). tRNAs cope with the degeneracy of the genetic code in two manners: having more than one tRNA (with a specific anti-codon) for a particular amino acid; and 'wobble' base-pairing, i.e. permitting non-standard base-pairing at the 3rd anti-codon position. The record is from Rfam by way of RNAcentral. Lineage: Eukaryota; Metazoa; Arthropoda; Arachnida; Araneae; Eresidae.
GCCUUCUUGGUGUAGUGGUUAGUACGCUGGACGCGUAACCGAGAGGUCCGUGGUUCGAUUCCCGGCGAAGGCG